Molecule: ribosomal RNA, 406 nt
Filed under: uncultured bacterium
Lineage: Bacteria
Description: partial 16S ribosomal RNA
Rfam family: Bacterial small subunit ribosomal RNA
Source: RNAcentral
AUUGAACGCUGGCGGCAGGCCUAACACAUGCAAGUCGAACGAGCGGCGGACGGGUGAGUAAUGUAUGGGAAUCUGCCCGAUAGAGGGGGAUAACUACUGGAAACGGUGGAUAAUACCGCACACUAUCGGAUGGACCCAUAUGGGAUUAGCUAGUAGGUGGGGUAAAGGCGCACCUCGGCGACGAUCCCUAGCUGGUCUGAGAGGAUGAACAGCCACACUGGAACUGAGACACGGUCCAGACUCCUACGGGAGGCAGCAGUGGGGAAUAUUGCACAAUGGGCGCAAGCCUGAUGCAGCCAUGCCGCGUGUAUGAAGAAGGCCUUAGGGUUGUAAAGUACUUUCAGCGGGGAGGCGUUACCCGCAGAAGAAGCACCGGCUAACUCCGUGCCAGCAGCCGCGGUAAUUC